CCAAUAGCGUAUAUUAAAGUUGUUGCGGUAAAAAAGCUCGUAGUUGGAUUUCUACCGAAGAUAGCCGGUCGGGUCUUCGACCUUGUAUCUGGUUUUGUCUUUGGUAUCCUCAUAGGGAACGUUUCUGCGCUUUAUUGCGUGGUGCGGUAUCUAUGACUUUUACUUUGAGGAAAUUAGAGUGUUCACGGCAGGCAAACGCCUUGAAUAUAUUAGCAUGGAAUAAUAACAUAGGAUCUUCGUCCUAUUUUGUUGGUUUCUAGGGCUAAGAUAAUGAUUAAUAGGGAUAAUUGGGGGCAUCUGUAUCAACGCGUCAGAGGUGGAAUUCUUGGAUUGCGUUGCGACAAACUACUGCGAAAGCAUUUGCCAAGGAUGUUUUCAUUGA
This 382-nucleotide ribosomal RNA is filed under the name uncultured eukaryote. RNAcentral describes it as "partial 18S ribosomal RNA". It matches the Rfam family "Eukaryotic small subunit ribosomal RNA", at positions 591 to 976 of the family's 1831-position model. The record is from RNAcentral.